CAAAAACAUAGCUGUGUGAAAUAAUACACGGUGUUUUCUGCUCAAUGAAUUUUAAAUAGCCGCAGUACCCUGACUGUGCUAAGGUAGCGCAAUCAAUUGACUUUUAAAUGAAGUCCGGUAUGAAAGAAAUUAUGGGGGGCUACUUUAUCAUUUACCAUUAAAGAAUUUAUUUAUGAAGUGCAAAUUCUUCUAUAUAAAUAAUAGACGAGAAGACCCUAGAAAUUUUAAAGAGUAACCUUUUUGUUGGGGCAACAAAGUAGUAUAUAAAUCUACUCUAACGACAAGAAAGAUGUAUUUUGUAAGAUUAAAUUACUCUAGGGAUAACAGCAUAAUUUAUAAUAGUUUGUGACCUCGAUGUUGGAUUAGGGGAUUUACAUUUAGAAGAUAACAGAYACGCUCUGUUCG
RNAcentral lists this ribosomal RNA (405 nucleotides) under Camaenidae sp. BR7. RNAcentral describes it as "partial 16S ribosomal RNA". It matches the Rfam family "Archaeal large subunit ribosomal RNA", at positions 1903 to 2654 of the family's 2987-position model. Lineage: Eukaryota; Metazoa; Mollusca; Gastropoda; Stylommatophora; Camaenidae. The record is from RNAcentral.